RNAcentral lists this transfer RNA (69 nucleotides) under Ovis aries (sheep). It matches the Rfam family "tRNA". Rfam says of the family: Transfer RNA (tRNA) molecules are approximately 80 nucleotides in length. The record is from Rfam by way of RNAcentral. Lineage: Eukaryota; Metazoa; Chordata; Mammalia; Artiodactyla; Bovidae.
CCUGGUGGCUCAGACGGUAAAGCGUCUGCCUGAAAUGUGGGAGACCCGGGUUCGAUUCCUGGGUCAGGA